Molecule: microRNA precursor, 96 nt
Organism: Pan troglodytes (chimpanzee)
Lineage: Eukaryota; Metazoa; Chordata; Mammalia; Primates; Hominidae
Rfam family: mir-544 microRNA precursor family
Source: Rfam
GUCACCCAGGGAUCUUGUUAAAUGCAGAUUCCGAUUCAGUCAAUCUGGAUGGAGCCUGAGAUUCUACAUUUCUAACAAGCUCCCAGGUGAUACCGG